GCAGACACAUUCCAGCCAAUCAGCAGCAGACCCUCCCUCCCAGACCCUCCCACCUCCUGGACAGCUCACUCAGCUUCACAAUGAAUGUAAAAUGGAUGCUGUCCAGGAGGUGGGAGGGUCUGGGAGGGAGGGUCUGCUGCUGAUUGGCUGGAAUGUGUCUG
Molecule: non-coding RNA, 161 nt
Organism: Pelobates cultripes (western spadefoot toad)
Lineage: Eukaryota; Metazoa; Chordata; Amphibia; Anura; Pelobatidae
Source: the annotation of a GenBank genome assembly